GGGAAAGUAGCUCAGCUGGUAGAGCAAGUAACUAUUUAGUUGCUGAAGGUCGGUGGUUCAAGUCCAUCCUUUUCCAC
Molecule: transfer RNA, 77 nt
Filed under: Chryseobacterium nakagawai
Lineage: Bacteria; Pseudomonadati; Bacteroidota; Flavobacteriia; Flavobacteriales; Weeksellaceae
Description: tRNA-???(attt)
Rfam family: tRNA
About the family: Transfer RNA (tRNA) molecules are approximately 80 nucleotides in length. Their secondary structure includes four short double-helical elements and three loops (D, anti-codon, and T loops). Further hydrogen bonds mediate the characteristic L-shaped molecular structure. tRNAs have two regions of fundamental functional importance: the anti-codon, which is responsible for specific mRNA codon recognition, and the 3' end, to which the tRNAs corresponding amino acid is attached (by aminoacyl-tRNA synthetases). tRNAs cope with the degeneracy of the genetic code in two manners: having more than one tRNA (with a specific anti-codon) for a particular amino acid; and 'wobble' base-pairing, i.e. permitting non-standard base-pairing at the 3rd anti-codon position.
Source: RNAcentral